GGGGGGGGGGGGGGGGGGGGGGGGGGGGGGGGGGGGGGGCCGCGCUCCCAGAGACGGGCGCGGUGACGGCCGGCAGCCGGGGCUCUGGCGUCGGGCGGCAUGUGCCGCUGCCCGACGGAAGAUGGGCUGUACUGCCUGUGCCUGGCCCCUGUUAGCCUGGAGAAAUUAUUUAAGAAGCUGAUUAUGGAUUCAGGAAGCAGAGUAGCUGCAGUUUUCAUCUGCUCUGAGGAGGAAGAAAGAAAGAAGAUUGAAGCUGCAACCAUGUUGUGAAGGAUUGCACUUUAGCACUGUUUGCUUUAGGAUGAUAACAGAGGAAAUUAGAAUACAGUGUCAUCUCCCUGAUUGCCAGACGGUACCGUGACCCUUCACUUGCAAUAGCUUUAAAUGCAAAUAGAAAGAAGUAGAAAGAAGUUUUUUUCCUUGGCCGUAUGACUUGAGAGAAUGAACUACCUUAGAAGUUUGAACUGGUGGGAGAGCAGCAUUGUAAGAUGAGAGAAAUAGAGAGUGAAAGCCAAGCCACAAAUAACUGCAACAUUGUGAUCCCUUAAGCCCCACAGUUCGAAAGGAAAAAAAAAAAUCUCCUCGUUGAGAAUUCAGGGCGGGCAGGGGAAAUAUAAUGGGCGAACCGCAAGAUGGAAAACCGGUUCCAGACUGUGAUGUUCUAGUGACGCAAGCUGAGAAAGGUGCUGCGGCGCAACUGUGCUCUCCUGAGACCCGGCAGGAGUCAUUCCUAUAGGAGAGAAACCACAUGGAGACAGUGAGUAAGGGAAAUUUUAACAGUAAAGUAGACUGGAAGAGACUGAAAAUCCAAACUGUUUUCGUAAAACAAUUCCGCGUCUGAGUGGAAAACAAUGAGCCCUUAUCCACAAGUGAAAUGACGAUAGAGCACGUACUGGGCGUUCUGCUCAACAGCUGACAAAGUAAAGGAAAAGGGGUGGAGGGGAAAAGAGAAGUAAUCCUGAAAAAAAUUCUACUUGGGUGGAGCAGAGUGCUGGUAGGGAAAAUUUAGUGAAUAUGUCCACAAUGGUCAUGGGUAAAUGGAAGAUAGGAAUGUUUCUCAUAAUGAAGAAGGGAUUAAUUCCUGGAUCAAGUCAUGUCUCAGGUAGUUCUAGAACUAUCAAAAGUGAUCUGAAACCAGAGCUAGCAGAUCCUCUGCCACCCAUUAUGAAGGAUUAAUCUCUACCAACUGAUUUGCAGAGUACCAGAUCCUCUGCCACCCAUUAGGAAGGAUUAAUCUCUACCAACUGAUUUGCAGAUAAUCCAAGGAAGUAAUUUUUUUUCUUUUCUUUGCCAAGAGACCCUCCGUGUUUAAGUUAAACAAUCUGAAUCAUGGUGACUGAGAUGUGGGAGCCAUCUUUUCCUCAUUUGUCUUCACGGAAGAUUUUUCCCACAAAUGUUGAAUACGAUUCUUGAACAGGAUGAUUGUAAAAGGUUAGAUGACAGGUGGCCCUGCCUACAGACGCCAGCAUUAGCUGAGUUGGCAUUAGCGUUGUGCUAAUAAUGCUCCAGGUUGUGGAUUUGAUCCCCAUAGACUUGAUGAUCCUUGUGGGUCUCUUCCCAUUCCAAAUAUUCUUAUUCUGUAAUGAGGAAUUUAUCAUGUGACUUCUCUGAAUGAAAUGGGAAAUUGAAGAGUCUAGAGACUAGUCUCCCAAAUUCAAAUCCAUAUAAAUUAAGCAUUUGUUAAAACCUUGUUCCUUUCUUGAUUACCUGAGACCUCCCUUUAUGUUCUGAAGACUCACAACAGGAAAUUAAAUUGUUACAUUCUUGGUGCAGGUUUGCCUCCUUCUCUGAGAUGCAAAGUUUACACUGACUAGGUAUGGCUUAAUAGUAUAUUUUUGUACAUGUAUCCUAUAAUAUUUGAUUGCUUCUAGGAAUGUUUAGUCAUGGCACCACAGAACAUUUUGUGCUUAAUACUAAACAUUUGCAUGAAUUCUUGGAACUAGGUUGGGUGCAUAUGAGGAAGAAACUGAAUCUGAAGUGAAAAGAAAUGUUAUGAGGACUGAGUUCUAAAAUUGGCUACAUUGCUAAUGCUAAUGAAAUGUGAAUUUUAACAUACACAGUUGGCAUUGAUGAUACAUUGCUCAAAACCAGAUAAAAAAUUCCUGUAAAAAGCCUUUAUUCCCAGAGCUUCUUCAUGUGUAGGCAUGGAAAAAAAGGCAGGUACUUUUACAUUAACUGGUAGACAGUUUUUCAUUGACCAUUCUCUUUACAGGUGCAUAAAGGACAUAGUGCCUCCAGCUUCAGAUUGGUCCUAAUUCAGUAAUACAUUCCCAAAUUUUUUCCUGUACAAUUCCCUUAUGUGAGCAAGUGAUUUCUUCUUACCCUCCCAAAUAACCUUGAAAAGUAGAUCUUUACCUGAUCCUGCAAUUUUCUGUGCCCUGCGUCCCAUUGCUGCUGUGGAGAGGCUGUGUGCUCUCUCCCCGAUCAGAAAACAAUGAAUGAAGAUGGCAUAUGCUGGAGACUGAGGGUUAAUACCUGAGAAUCACUGGUGUCUUAAUCUUAAAAAAACACCCAACCCUGUAAUUCCUUCUUGAUUGGUGAACUAACCUCAAACAGGGUGAAUAGAACUGCUGCCUCUUUCUGUAUCUGAGUAUGGAAUUAAAGCAAUUAUUCUGCUGUUAUCUUCACAUUAUGAGACACUUUGGAAUCCUUAUGGCUGUAUCAGCAUAUAUCUAAGUGUCAGAUUUAUCCCUCCUUGGUACCAGACAGACCAAGGUCCAGAUCCUGGGCUGUGCCUCAGUCAAAGCUGCGGUGUUGUACGUACUGUCUGUGGACAAACAUGUAAAUGUGCCUGUACCUCUGCAGAGGAACUCUCUUAAACUCCCCUCUCCCUUUUUGACAAUUUCAUAGCCUGUACCAUUCCUCCGUGUAAUCCCAGUCUCUUCUUGGGAGAGUUUGGAGUCUCCUGUUGGGGCAUCCACAUUUCAAGAAGAGAUAAUUUGAUCAUGGUGGGUGAAAGAGGAAUGUUUAGGAGGAUUUCACUUAGCAGUACAUGGUAAACAAAUGGGAAUGGUCAAAAGCCACAACCCAAGCUGGAGUCCAUUCCCAUAUCAUUCAUGCACUUUUAAAGUAGACACUUUGCCUACAGGUGGACACAAUUCAUUAGUGGGCCUAAGUGCAUGCUCCACUGGAGGAAUGAAACUUUAACUAAACUUUUUUUGUGUGGUAUGUCGCAGUAGGUCAAACUGGGCCUAAUGAGAAGAUCAAACCUAUUUAUGUGUGUCAGUGCUUUGUUGGAUUUUAGUACUCUAGACUUCCAAAAAUUAAAUUUCAAAAUGUUUAACUAAUGAUACUGAAAGCCAAAGUUGAGGCAAAGUUGAGGUUGCAAGUACAGAAUGAUCAAGUCAAUCUAUCUCAAUAAACAGCAAUAAAGAUAUUAAUUAUUUAUGAGGCAUUAGUGGGAAAUAUAUAUAUAUAUAUAUAUAUAUAUAUGUGUGUGUUUAUUUAUUUAUUUAUUUAUUUAUUUAUUUAUGUAUAAUUUUCACUUGGCCCUAGUGAGAUUGCAUCUGGAGUUCUGUGUCCAGUUCUGGACCCAUCCUGCGAUCCUGUGUCUUGUGCCUUGUUUGGCUACCAGUUAUAUUUCAUAGUUAGUUGGUUAUUCCUAGCUUUACCAACAAUGGGUGUUGUGUUAGAGACAUGUGUCCUUAGGAAUGAAACAGAGAGAUUCAGACAUGAGAGAUUAUUGAUGUAAUAUCAAGUAAAAUCAAAAUAUCCCUGUAAAAUAUAUGAAUUAUUCACAAUGUAAUUAAAGUGCUUAAAGCUAAAUGAAGUUCAUCUCAUGUUUGUUCAGUAUGUGAUAGGAAAAUAUUUUGUUUUUUUUAACUGAGUAAAUU
Long non-coding RNA from Ficedula albicollis (Collared flycatcher), 3833 nucleotides. The record is from Ensembl. NCBI's taxonomy places the organism in Eukaryota, Metazoa, Chordata, Aves, Passeriformes, Muscicapidae.